This 1346-nucleotide ribosomal RNA is filed under the name uncultured bacterium. Its description in RNAcentral is "partial 16S ribosomal RNA". It matches the Rfam family "Bacterial small subunit ribosomal RNA", at positions 28 to 1381 of the family's 1533-position model. The record is from RNAcentral.
GACGAACGCUGGCGGCGUGCUUAACACAUGCAAGUCGAACGGAAAGGCCCUGCUUUUGUGGGGUGCUCGAGUGGCGAACGGGUGAGUAACACGUGAGUAACCUGCCCUUGACUUUGGGAUAACUUCAGGAAACUGGGGCUAAUACCGGAUAGGAGCUCCUGCUGCAUGGUGGGGGUUGGAAAGUUUCGGCGGUUGGGGAUGGACUCGCGGCUUAUCAGCUUGUUGGUGGGGUAGUGGCUUACCAAGGCUUUGACGGGUAGCCGGCCUGAGAGGGUGACCGGCCACAUUGGGACUGAGAUACGGCCCAGACUCCUACGGGAGGCAGCAGUGGGGAAUAUUGCACAAUGGGCGGAAGCCUGAUGCAGCAACGCCGCGUGCGGGAUGACGGCCUUCGGGUUGUAAACCGCUUUCGCCUGUGACGAAGCGUGAGUGACGGUAAUGGGUAAAGAAGCACCGGCUAACUACGUGCCAGCAGCCGCGGUGAUACGUAGGGUGCGAGCGUUGUCCGGAUUUAUUGGGCGUAAAGGGCUCGUAGGUGGUUGAUCGCGUCGGAAGUGUAAUCUUGGGGCUUAACCCUGAGCGUGCUUUCGAUACGGGUUGACUUGAGGAAGGUAGGGGAGAAUGGAAUUCCUGGUGGAGCGGUGGAAUGCGCAGAUAUCAGGAGGAACACCAGUGGCGAAGGCGGUUCUCUGGGCCUUUCCUGACGCUGAGGAGCGAAAGCGUGGGGAGCGAACAGGCUUAGAUACCCUGGUAGUCCACGCUGUAAACGGUGGGUACUAGGUGUGGGGUCCAUUCCACGGGUUCCGUGCCGUAGCUAACGCUUUAAGUACCCCGCCUGGGGAGUACGGCCGCAAGGCUAAAACUCAAAGGAAUUGACGGGGCCCCGCACAAGCGGCGGAGCAUGCGGAUUAAUUCGAUGCAACGCGUAGAACCUUACCUGGGUUUGACAUGGAUCGGGAGUGCUCAGAGAUGGGUGUGCCUCUUUUGGGGUCGGUUCACAGGUGGUGCAUGGCUGUCGUCAGCUCGUGUCGUGAGAUGUUGGGUUAAGUCCCGCAACGAGCGCAACCCUUGUUCACUGUUGCCAGCACGUUAUGGUGGGGACUCAGUGGAGACCGCCGGGGUCAACUCGGAGGAAGGUGGGGAUGACGUCAAGUCAUCAUGCCCCUUAUGUCCAGGGCUUCACGCAUGCUACAAUGGCUGGUACAGAGAGUGGCGAGCCUGUGAGGGUGAGCGAAUCUCGGAAAGCCGGUCUCAGUUCGGAUUGGGGUCUGCAACUCGACCUCAUGAAGUCGGAGUCGCUAGUAAUCGCAGAUCAGCAACGCUGCGGUGAAAAAGUUCCCGGGGCU